AACUCGAUGGACAUGAGUUUGAGCAAGCUCCAGGAUAUGGUGAAGGACUGGGAAGCCUGGCAUGCUGCAGUCCAUGGGGUUGCAAAGAGUUGGAAAGGAAUGAGGGACUGAACAACAACAAAUUUUCAGUAACAUUGUAUCAAGACCCAAGUGACAAUAUCUGAUUGUUUCCAGUUUGGAACCGGGAAACCUGGCGGGCUAUAAUCCAUGCGAUCACAAAGAGUCGUUCGUGACUGAGCACUGAACACACAUGCUGGUUUGGAAUUAUUAUUAAUGAAGCUGCAAUAAAAAUAUUUUUACAGGU
Molecule: long non-coding RNA, 304 nt
Organism: Bubalus bubalis (water buffalo)
Lineage: Eukaryota; Metazoa; Chordata; Mammalia; Artiodactyla; Bovidae
Exons: 2
Source: RefSeq, a predicted model, not a curated record